CCUUACCUACUCUUGACAUCCAGAGAACUUUCCAGAGAUGGAUUGGUGCCUUCGGGAACUCUGAGACAGGUGCUGCAUGGCUGUCGUCAGCUCGUGUUGUGAAAUGUUGGGUUAAGUCCCGCAACGAGCGCAACCCUUAUCCUUUGUUGCCAGCGGUUCGGCCGGGAACUCAAAGGAGACUGCCAGUGAUAAACUGGAGGAAGGUGGGGAUGACGUCAAGUCAUCAUGGCCCUUACGAGUAGGGCUACACACGUGCUACAAUGGCAUAUACAAAGAGAAGCGACCUCGCGAGAGCAAGCGGACCUCAUAAAGUAUGUCGUAGUCCGGAUUGGAGUCUGCAACUCGACUCCAUGAAGUCGGAA
RNAcentral lists this ribosomal RNA (362 nucleotides) under uncultured bacterium. RNAcentral describes it as "bacterial SSU rRNA". It matches the Rfam family "Bacterial small subunit ribosomal RNA", at positions 969 to 1331 of the family's 1533-position model. The record is from RNAcentral.